Salvia miltiorrhiza (redroot sage) is the source of this 842-nucleotide long non-coding RNA. RefSeq lists it as uncharacterized. The record is from RefSeq and is a predicted model, not a curated record. Lineage: Eukaryota; Viridiplantae; Streptophyta; Magnoliopsida; Lamiales; Lamiaceae. The transcript has 2 exons.
UUGAAUGUUUUUAGCCAAAGAUUCUGAUUACAAUUUUUUAUAAAUGUGGCUGCUAGUAGAUAAACUCCAAUACUGAGAUUGAAUGGCCUAGUUUUGUUUUAUAUUUUGGUUUAAUUUAUAUGCCAUCUGAUUAAUUUUUUUAUAUCUUGGCUGUUAUAGUGAGUUCAUGUAUUGAAUAAGUUGUUCAGGUAUUGAAUAAGUUCUGUAACAUUUAUAUGUGCUUUCGUUGCUCCAAUGCUUGCUGCUUGGUUUAGAUUGAAAUAUCCCAUAUUGUUUCUAUGAUAUAGUUUCCUAGGAUUUCAAGGUCUAAAUUAUUCCGUCGUGGCGUGUCACCUCUGCUGCCCUCUCUUAUAAUCGGCUACCUCUCAUUAUAAACAAUCAUUCCCCUUUUCUAAUCUUUCUAUGAUCUCUAUCUUGGGUUUUUAAUUAGGACUCUGUUACAACUUACAAGAGUAAGUUAUACUCAUUUUUUCCCCACGUUUUUUUUGAGAAUUCAGUUAUUAAGAGCUGGGUUUCGCAGAAAAUGAUGGACGUGUUUGAUGACGAGGUUGAGGGUGAGGCUACUAUUUUGAUGAAAGAUUACCUGGAAGCUGUUGAAGAAGAGGAACUGAGAAGAAGGGUUGGAAUUGAAGAGUGUGUUCUUCCAAGAAGGGACGAAGAUCAAGAUGGAGAUGAGCGUGAAGGAAGCGUUGGAGAGGGCGAUGAGGACUUUGUCUGAGUGGAUAAGACGGGAAGUGAAUCGAAAUAUGUAAUGAUCAUAUAUACUUGAUACUUGGUUCAUUCGAAUGAUAAUGUAUGAAUAUUUUAGAUUAUAUAUAAUAUUGUUAUUGUCGAUUUUAUCA